UACGGAGGGUGCGAGCGUUGUCCGGAAUCAUUGGGCGUAAAGGGCGCGUAGGUGGCCCGGUCAGUUCGUGGUGAAAGCGCGGGGCUCAACCCUGCGUCGGCCAUGAAUACUGCCGCGGCUGGAGCACUGUAGAGGCAGGCGGAAUUCCGGGUGUAGCGGUGGAAUGCGUAGAGAUCCGGAAGAACACCGGUGGCGAAGGCGGGUCUCUGGGCAAUUCCUGACGCUGAGGCGCGAAAGCGUGGGGAGCAAACGGG
This 254-nucleotide ribosomal RNA is filed under the name uncultured bacterium. Its description in RNAcentral is "partial 16S ribosomal RNA". It matches the Rfam family "Bacterial small subunit ribosomal RNA", at positions 524 to 776 of the family's 1533-position model. The record is from RNAcentral.